CCAGAGGAAUUUGUUUUUUCUCGAUUUUCCCCGCUUAUUUUUUCUUCGUUUCUAUCUUUUAUACCGCCGUCUAAAGGUAGAAUUCUCAUCUUCUGCCCAAACAUUUUUUCGUAAGUCAGGUCAAGGUGAAGACUAUAACGGAGGCAAAGCUAAUUACGCAUUAAAUUAAUUAAAGGAUCUCAUUCUAAAGAAGAAUUGAAAGAGGAUUUGGAAGUAGUUUUUUAACAAAAAUUGAUGAUGAAAUUGAAUUUAGGUGUACAUAUCGCCCGUCGCCCUCUUCUAAAGAAGAGGUAAGUCGUAACAUAGUUAGUUUACUGGAAAGUAAACUAAGGGAGGAAAAAAGCUAAUAGUAUCUCACUUACACUGAGAAGAAGAAAACAACCCUCUAUUUGAAUUCUUAUUUAAAUAAAUAUUUUGUUCUUCACGCUUUUUUUCUUGUUCUUAUUUCACCGUGAGGGGAAACUUAUCAAUUGUUAAACAGAAAAGUAAUGUACCUUUGGUAUCAGGGAAAAUCAAUCUCCUAUUUUUAAUAAAUGCUCCCGAAAUUGAAAUGAUCUAUUUCUUCUUAUCAAGCUUGUUUCAUAAAGUUUUCUAAAGAAGGCAUAGAGAUGAAAUUCCAUCCGCAUUCUAUCAUAUCUGGUUCUCUUUGAAGGUAACAGUACCAAAAUUUAAAAAGGGACAAACUUUUUUAAAAGUUAGCCAUUUCAUUUCUAUCAAAACACUAGGAUUAAUAGUAUCCUCCAAGUUUAAAAACUUUCCUGUUUCUUCUAAGGAAUUUUAUUAAAAGAAACCUUCCUAAUAAUUUUCACAAUGAUUUUAUUAGUAAAAUUUGUCUAACUUCCCUUUGUUGACAUACUUUUCUCAAUAAAUUUUACAUUCAGGUUUAUGAACUCGGCCUAUAUAUUUAUUGUCUGUUUAUCAAAAACAUUUCUGAAUGAUUUGAUAUUCAGUAGGGCCUGCUCAAUGAUUUUUUCAAUAGCCGCAAUUUUUGUGCUAAGGUAGCGUAAUCAUUUGCCUUUCAAUUGAAGGCUAGUAUGAAAGGUUUGACAUAUAAAUUUCUUUAUUACCUAAAUUAUUUUAACUUUUCUUUCAAGUAAAAAGACUUGUAUGACAAAGAAGGACGACAAGACCCUAUCGAACUUCACUUUUGUUGAACUGGGGCGGUAAAAAACUAAAUCUUUUUCUUUCGUCUUUCUCUAUCUCCAAUCUGGAAAUCAAUUAAGUUACCGUAGGGAUAACAGCACAAUUUUUUCUUAAAGUUCUUAUAAAAGAAAAAGAUUAUGACCUCGAUGUUGAAUUAUUU
RNAcentral lists this ribosomal RNA (1303 nucleotides) under Aptostichus atomarius. RNAcentral's name for it is "partial 16S large subunit ribosomal RNA". The record is from RNAcentral. Lineage: Eukaryota; Metazoa; Arthropoda; Arachnida; Araneae; Euctenizidae.